CCACCCACAGAACUUGGCACUUUGACAUUGAGGCGGCACAAAUAAAAACCCAGAUCACAGGAAACAGGUGACUACAUUUUAAUAAAUCAAAGUCUGGAAUCCUAAGCUUGAAACAAUUCCUUAGAACACUCCAGGAAAAACAGUCAUCUGAGUGCAGAUUCACUUGUCCCCACAGAUACGAGACAGUUGAAGGCUGCAUGAAUUAAUGGGACCUUUUCAAAUGGAACUCCACGUUGCUACAAAUUGUUUGGUUCUGAUCUGCCGUCACAAUACCCUGAAAUAGAGAAAACAGUCAUUGAUGACAGGAAGACAGACCCAGUGGUAAAUAUGAAAUGCAUCUCACUGGCAGGCGGGCCCAAAUGCAUGGCACACCGACCUCUCCGGGAGAGCUGGGGCACCCUACUCCCACCCACCCACUCACCAUUGUGAACAAUCAGCCUGUACUGCCUGGCCAAGCACAGCUCCUCCUGCCUCUGCCUCACGAUCUUUUGUGCCUCCAGGGGAAGGCCAUUGGGGUCACGGGAAAACACGAAGGAGUAGCUGUCAGCACAGGUGCCAUCGAGGUUCAGGAGGCGGCAGGAAUACUGCACGGCAUAUUCAAAAGCCGGACUCGGCCCUUGGCCGUGGCGCUCAUCCGGCCAUUCUCAUCCACCGAGAACUCAGCGACGAUGUUGUCCUGCAGAAAGAGGCCCUCGGGGUCCUUCUUGGCCAUGGCGUACCAGGUCCCGGCGAACUGCGAGGGAGGUGAGCGAGGGAGAGUUAGAGCCCCUCUGAUCCAUCAAAGUCAGAAGAUGCAGCUUCUAACUGAAUGAGAGUUCAUGGUAUGGCAAAGAAAUAGGCACCUUCCUGUGACUCUUUGGACAUCUACCUGCCUGGGUCUCUGCUUCCACUUGACACCUUUCCCUGCUUCCAGGUUGUGCCUUCAGGGUGUCUGGAGUGCCAAUGAUGAUGCAUUUAACUCCUUACUGCCCCAGAGCUAGGAAAGCCCUGUUUCUGGCCAACCAGCUAACUGGUUAGG
RNAcentral lists this long non-coding RNA (1018 nucleotides) under Vulpes vulpes (red fox). Its description in RNAcentral is "lncRNA (ENSVVUG00000022030.1)". Lineage: Eukaryota; Metazoa; Chordata; Mammalia; Carnivora; Canidae. The record is from RNAcentral.